UGAGAAGUCGAUUAAAAGAAGUAGAGGUUCUUCCACUGAUGUUCGGCACACGAUCCAUAAUGCAAAACCUACGAAGUCAGCAAAAGAUCCACGCAUCUAUCUAUUUGCAACAUAUUGAUGUCCCCCUUGCUCAUACAAUGCCGAUGAGUCGCACAAGGUACAGAACCAUAUAGCAAAAGCUGCUAUGGCUCAACAUAACGGUGCAAAGGAUAUCGCCAAUCUUACAGAUGCCUUUGAAUGGACUUGAAGCUGUUCUCCAGGAGGUGGUACUAGCACAGGGAGACACAGCUUACCUCACCCUGGCAUGCCAAGACACACCUUGGCAUCGACCUUCAAGUGCUUUGAAGCCAUUGUGUCUGACCCAGUUUCCGGGAAGAAGACUCACUUUGCUUGGCUGGAUGGUGAGAUCCACUGGGAUAAAUUUUAAGAGUCAUUCAAAGCAGAAAAUCGGAUUCCUUUUGGUGUU
Long non-coding RNA from Fundulus heteroclitus (mummichog), 466 nucleotides. RefSeq lists it as uncharacterized. The transcript has 5 exons. The record is from RefSeq and is a predicted model, not a curated record. Lineage: Eukaryota; Metazoa; Chordata; Actinopteri; Cyprinodontiformes; Fundulidae.